CCCUACGGGUGGCAGCAGUGAGGAAUAUUGGUCAAUGGACGAGAGUCUGAACCAGCCAAGUAGCGUGAAGGAUGACUGCCCUAUGGGUUGUAAACUUCUUUUAUAUGGGAAUAAAAUGUUCCACGUGUGGGAUUUUGUAUGUACCAUAUGAAUAAGGAUCGGCUAACUCCGUGCCAGCAGCCGCGGUAAUACGGAGGAUCCGAGCGUUAUCCGGAUUUAUUGGGUUUAAAGGGAGCGUAGAUGGGUUGUUAAGUCAGUUGUGAAAGUUUGCGGCUCAACCGUAAAAUUGCAAUUGAUACUGGCAGUCUUGAGUACAGUUGAGGUAGGCGGAAUUCGUGGUGUAGCGGUGAAAUGCUUAGAUAUCACGAAGAACUCCGAUUGCGAAGGCAGCUUACUAAACUGCCACUGACAUUGAUGCUCGAAAGUGUGGGUAUCAAACAGGAUUAGAUACCCUUGUAGUC
RNAcentral lists this ribosomal RNA (461 nucleotides) under uncultured bacterium. RNAcentral's name for it is "partial 16S ribosomal RNA". It matches the Rfam family "Bacterial small subunit ribosomal RNA", at positions 337 to 795 of the family's 1533-position model. The record is from RNAcentral.